AGCGAACGCUGGCGGCAGGCUUAACACAUGCAAGUCGAACGGAUCCUUCGGGAUUAGUGGCGGACGGGUGAGUAACACGUGGGAACGUGCCUUUUGGUUCGGAACAACACAGGGAAACUUGUGCUAAUACCGGAUGUGCCCUUCGGGGAAAGGAUUAUCGCCAUUAGAGCGGCCCGCCGUCUGAUUAGCUAGUUGGUGAGGUAAAGGACUCACCAAGGCUACGAUCAGUAGCUGGCUGAGAGGA
Molecule: ribosomal RNA, 244 nt
Filed under: uncultured bacterium
Lineage: Bacteria
Description: partial 16S ribosomal RNA
Rfam family: Bacterial small subunit ribosomal RNA
Source: RNAcentral